This 2351-nucleotide ribosomal RNA is filed under the name Listeria monocytogenes. RNAcentral describes it as "partial 23S ribosomal RNA". It matches the Rfam family "Bacterial large subunit ribosomal RNA", at positions 283 to 2625 of the family's 2925-position model. The record is from RNAcentral. Lineage: Bacteria; Bacillati; Bacillota; Bacilli; Caryophanales; Listeriaceae.
GCUUGCUUCUUGGGGUUGUAGGACACUCUAUACGGAGUUACAAAAGAAAGUUAUAAAUGAAGCGGUCUGGAAAGGCCCGCCAAAGACGGUAACAGCCCGGUAGUUGAAAUGGCUUUCCCUCCAGAGUGGAUCCUGAGUACGGCGGAACACGUGAAAUUCCGUCGGAAUCCGGGAGGACCAUCUCCCAAGGCUAAAUACUCCCUAGUGACCGAUAGUGAACCAGUACCGUGAGGGAAAGGUGAAAAGCACCCCGGAAGGGGAGUGAAACAGUUCCUGAAACCGUGUGCCUACAAGUAGUUAGAGCCCGUUAAUGGGUGAUAGCGUGCCUUUUGUAGAAUGAACCGGCGAGUUACGAUUUGUUGCAAGGUUAAGCGGAAAAAGCGGAGCCGUAGCGAAAGCGAGUCUGAAUAGGGCGCAUAAGUAACAGGUCGUAGACCCGAAACCAGGUGAUCUACCCAUGUCCAGGAUGAAGGUAAGGUAAUACUUACUGGAGGUCCGAACCCACGCACGUUGAAAAGUGCGGGGAUGAGGUGUGGGUAGCGGAGAAAUUCCAAUCGAACUUGGAGAUAGCUGGUUCUCUCCGAAAUAGCUUUAGGGCUAGCCUCGAGGUAAAGAGUCAUGGAGGUAGAGCACUGUUUGGACUAGGGGCCCUUCUCGGGUUACCGAAUUCAGAUAAACUCCGAAUGCCAUGUACUUAUACUCGGGAGUCAGACUGCGAGUGAUAAGAUCCGUAGUCGAAAGGGAAACAGCCCAGACCACCAGUUAAGGUCCCCAAAUAUAUGUUAAGUGGAAAAGGAUGUGGGGUUGCUUAGACAACCAGGAUGUUGGCUUAGAAGCAGCCACCAUUGAAAGAGUGCGUAAUAGCUCACUGGUCGAGUGACCCCGCGCCGAAAAUGUACCGGGGCUAAACAUAUUACCGAAACUGUGGAUGAACCUCUUUAGAGGUUCGUGGUAGGAGAGCGUUCUAAGGGCGGUGAAGUCAGACCGGAAGGACUGGUGGAGCGCUUAGAAGUGAGAAUGCCGGUAUGAGUAGCGAAAGAAGGGUGAGAAUCCCUUCCACCGAAUAUCUAAGGUUUCCUGAGGAAGGCUCGUCCGCUCAGGGUUAGUCGGGACCUAAGCCGAGGCCGAUAGGCGUAGGCGAUGGACAACAGGUAGAGAUUCCUGUACCAGUGCUAAUUGUUUAACCGAUGGGGUGACACAGAAGGAUAGGGAAUCGCACGAAUGGAAAUGUGCGUCCAAGCAGUGAGUGUGAGAAGUAGGCAAAUCCGCUUCUCGCGAAGCAUGAGCUGUGAUGGGGAAGGAAAUUAAGUACGGAAGUUCCUGAUUUCACGCUGUCAAGAAAAGCCUCUAGGAAGAGUAGUACUGCCCGUACCGCAAACCGACACAGGUAGAUGAGGAGAGAAUCCUAAGGUGAGCGAGAGAACUCUCGUUAAGGAACUCGGCAAAAUGACCCCGUAACUUCGGGAGAAGGGGUGCUCUAUUAGGGUGCAAGCCCGAGAGAGCCGCAGUGAAUAGGCCCAGGCGACUGUUUAGCAAAAACACAGGUCUCUGCAAAACCGUAAGGUGACGUAUAGGGGCUGACGCCUGCCCGGUGCUGGAAGGUUAAGAGGAGUGCUUAGCUUCGGCGAAGGUACGAAUUGAAGCCCCAGUAAACGGCGGCCGUAACUAUAACGGUCCUAAGGUAGCGAAAUUCCUUGUCGGGUAAGUUCCGACCCGCACGAAAGGCGCAACGAUCUGGGCACUGUCUCAACGAGAGACUCGGUGAAAUUAUAGUACCUGUGAAGAUGCAGGUUACCCGCGACAGGACGGAAAGACCCCGUGGAGCUUUACUGCAACCUGAUAUGGAAUGUUUGUACCGCUUGUACAGGAUAGGUAGGAGCCGAAGAGACGUGUGCGCUAGCAUACGAGGAGGCAAUGGUGGGAUACUACCCUGGCUGUAUGACCAUUCUAACCCGCCACGCUUAGCGCGUGGGGAGACAGUGUCAGGUGGGCAGUUUGACUGGGGCGGUCGCCUCCUAAAGAGUAACGGAGGCGCCCAAAGGUUCCCUCAGAAUGGAUGGAAAUCAUUCGCAGAGUGUAAAGGCACAAGGGAGCUUGACUGCGAGACUGACAAGUCGAGCAGGGACGAAAGUCGGGCUUAGUGAUCCGGUGGUUCCGCAUGGAAGGGCCAUCGCUCAACGGAUAAAAGCUACCCCGGGGAUAACAGGCUUAUCUCCCCCAAGAGUCCACAUCGACGGGGAGGUUUGGCACCUCGAUGUCGGCUCGUCGCAUCCUGGGGCUGUAGUCGGUCCCAAGGGUUGGGCUGUUCGCCCAUUAAAGCGGCACGCGAGCUGGGUUCAGAACGUCGUGAG